Molecule: long non-coding RNA, 337 nt
Organism: Spinacia oleracea (spinach)
Lineage: Eukaryota; Viridiplantae; Streptophyta; Magnoliopsida; Caryophyllales; Amaranthaceae
Exons: 3
Source: RefSeq, a predicted model, not a curated record
AGAAAGCACUUAGAGGCAUCAAAGCGGAGGUUACUCACACAGGAAAUGUACGGAGGAAAUACUGAGUAUCAGGAUUGUCAGCACAACCUACCAGGGAGCUAAUUUUCAUAUUCCCUGUUGAUGAGCAAAUGAAUAUGAAGUUUGUGGUUGAGUACUUCCGGGAGGUGUAUGGAUUUUUCCAUAUAAUACACCCACUUCCCUUGUCUUCAAGUAGGGAGUCAAAAGAAAGUGAAUUAUUUUCCCAUUGAGGCAUGAUAAAUAGUUGGAGGACAAAGAUAUACAAAGAGAUUGAAUGAUAAGCAAAUAACUUCUUUACUCAAAGUUACAUGUAGGCGAC